GACAGAGGGUGCAAACGUUGCUCGGAAUCACUGGGCGUAAAGGGCGUGUAGGCGGUAGAGAAAGUCGGGCGUGAAAUCCCUGGGCUCAACCCAGGAACUGCACUCGAAACUUCCCUUCUUGAGUGCAGGAGAGGAAAGCGGAAUACCUGGUGUAGAGGUGAAAUUCGUAGAUAUCAGGUGGAACACCAGUGGCGAAGGCGGCUUUCUGGACGGUAACUGACGCUGAGACGCGAAAGCGUGGGGAGCAAACAGG
This 253-nucleotide ribosomal RNA is filed under the name uncultured bacterium. RNAcentral describes it as "partial 16S ribosomal RNA". It matches the Rfam family "Bacterial small subunit ribosomal RNA", at positions 524 to 776 of the family's 1533-position model. The record is from RNAcentral.